GCUUUCGUGGCGUAGUGGUCAGCACGCUCGACGCGUAUUCGAGAGGUCCGCGGUUCGAGUCCCGGUGAAGACA
RNAcentral lists this transfer RNA (73 nucleotides) under Stegodyphus mimosarum. It matches the Rfam family "tRNA". Rfam says of the family: Transfer RNA (tRNA) molecules are approximately 80 nucleotides in length. Their secondary structure includes four short double-helical elements and three loops (D, anti-codon, and T loops). The record is from Rfam by way of RNAcentral. Lineage: Eukaryota; Metazoa; Arthropoda; Arachnida; Araneae; Eresidae.